AAUAGGUAAUAUUACCAGCUGGUGCUAUUUGGAAGAAUGAAAUAAGUCAGAGUGUUCUGGAUAUGCUACACUUGUUGACAAAGAUGUAUAAGCAAAGUACAUUGUGGUUUGUUCAUGGAUUAAACAAUUCAGCAUUUUGGACCUAAUCUGGAAUGACGUUGCUGCUUUAGGUGGUGUUUUGAUGCUCAGAAGAUCACGGACUACUCAUUGUCUGCAUGGCUCACAGAAGUAAUAGGAGGCUUAUUUGAAUUCUGGGCUGUUUCUAUAACAUACAUUCAUUUCACUUGCCAUGGCAAACAAGGACUCUAAAACCAGAAGUAUGUGCAACCAUUGGCUGGACACGAUGGAUUUUACAAGGAAUAUGUCUGAAGAAACUCUAUCUCCAUAGUAUCUGUUGAAGAAAACAGCCUCGUGUGUCUCCCAUUAUCCAGUGAGUUUACAGCAAUAUACCCCUUUUUUCAUGUGCUUGCAUUUUCCAAAAUAAAAGCAAUCUUUGGAAAUCUGUCACAUAACUAUCUUCAUAAAUCACAAAACAUAAAAAUGUUAUUGUCUUUUCACAGAUGGGAGAACUGGAGGAACAGAGAUGUGGAGCUGUCUGCUCAGAGCUAUAUAGGAGGCCAGUGACAAAUCCAGGAAUCCAAGCCAAGGCUCCUAAGUUGCAUCCUAAUUCUCUAAUCAGAACAGAAAUUUGCCUUCUGGCACUAUGAUGAGGGAGAAGAUGUCAAAUUCUCAUGACAAACCAGGUCCUGGAAAAGUGCUGAGUGCCAGGGGAAUGGAUGAACUUGAAAAUAAAAGGAUAUCUGGAAAUACGCAAGCUGAGUUACAUAAGGAUUGUAUUGCAAGUGAAGUUUACAAUAUGAUGGUUCACCUCAGCACAAGAGUGAGCCUGGUCACGUGCAACCAGGGAAAUCCACUGGGCUGUUUAUGGAAAGCAAACGUUAUGUGACCCUGAAUCUCACUUGGUAUUUUAAACCAUAGGAGUUUCAGAUUUGAGUCACAAUAAGUAGGACAUAUAUAUGUAUCUAUAUAGAAGCUUUUAAGCUCUGAGCAAGGCUUCUGCCUUGGCAAUAUUUUCACCUCAAAUUGGACAUCUGGUCCUCUAUUCUUGUAAAUCAUUGUAGCCUCAAUCCAAAGUCAGAAAUCAGAUGAGAGGCUUCCAAACUUUGGCAAGAAAUUCAAUGCAAAAACCUUUACAAUAUUCUCUUUUCUACUCUGUCCACUUUGAACUCCAGAACCCCUGUUCCAUCCAUCCACGUUACACCUCGCUUCUUCAUAGGGCUUCCUGCAGAGGGGUGAUAUCAGUAUCUCUCUGAUGCCUUAUUUGCCCCAGUGGAGCUUUCAGUAGGAGCAGAUACGUUCUUAGCACUGCAUGGAGAACACCCUCAGUCCAGGGUCUUCAUUGGGACAGUCCUCUGUCAGAGCACGAGCUGGAGAGGAUGGCACACAAGAGGCACACGUGGUUAAAAAUCUGUUUUCUUCUUUUAAUUCAGCACUUUGACCUGAAACAUCAAGGCAAGCUGCGCAAAGCAAAGAGCUGCUUGCAGAGUAGAAUGCUGCAAGGUAGGAAGAGAAGCUCUGCUUAAGAGAAGAUUCGUCUCAGUCUACAAAACAAUCCCACUACAGAAUAAAAUAAGAAGUAACGAGAUUUUCCA
This 1652-nucleotide long non-coding RNA is filed under the name Coturnix japonica (Japanese quail). RNAcentral's name for it is "lncRNA (ENSCJPG00005019800.1)". The record is from RNAcentral. Lineage: Eukaryota; Metazoa; Chordata; Aves; Galliformes; Phasianidae.